This is a long non-coding RNA of Gymnogyps californianus (California condor), 718 nucleotides long. RefSeq lists it as uncharacterized. The transcript is spliced from 3 exons. The record is from RefSeq and is a predicted model, not a curated record. Lineage: Eukaryota; Metazoa; Chordata; Aves; Accipitriformes; Cathartidae.
CAGCAGACACGAGUGACCCGCUUCAGCAGAUCUGUAAAAUUUUGAAUGCGCACAUGGAUUCAUUGCAGUGGAUUGAGCAGAACUCAGCCGUGUUGCAGAGAAAGGUAGAAGAGGUGACAAAGGUUUGUGAGAGCCGCCGCAAGGAGCAAGAGCGCAGUUUUCGGAUCACGUUUGAUUGAAUGACUCAAAGUUUGAAGGGUUAACCUAAAAUCUCCAAGAAAACAGAGGUGGUUGGGGACCUAGGUCUCAGCUUAUGAUCUGGGUUUGUUUCUUUUCUUGCAAUAAAAUUUGUUGUUUGUUCCAAAGCCAGUCUUUGCAGUGUCUGACUGGCAUUCACCCGCUCCAGUCUGAGCGACUGCGUGAAGUUUGUGCUGAAAGUACGUGCUCUUCGUCUCUGUUCUUUAUGACUGCAUGCAGACUGGUGAGAUACACAAAUGCUGCCCUUGAGGGAUUUAAGCAGUAUGUGACUCCGCGGCUGAGCUCUCCAGUACUUAAAUGUGACUUGACUAUGUUCAGUUGGGACUUCAGAAGCUUUUAUUCAGGUCCUUACAGAGGUGGUUUAAUGAAGAGCUGUCCUCAGAAGGAGCUGCAGCAGUCUGAGAGACUCCAAUUCCUCAUGCCGCUAGCUGGAGUUUGUGUUUAAAUUAGGUAUGCUUCCACUUCUGAAAGCGGGCCUUGUUUUCUGUACUUUUGGCAAUAAAGUGCUUUUGUGCAGGUA